This 403-nucleotide ribosomal RNA is filed under the name uncultured bacterium. RNAcentral describes it as "partial 16S ribosomal RNA". It matches the Rfam family "Bacterial small subunit ribosomal RNA", at positions 30 to 526 of the family's 1533-position model. The record is from RNAcentral.
AUUGAACGCUGGCGGCAGGCCUAACACAUGCAAGUCGAGCGAGCGGCGGACGGGUGAGUAAUGUAUGGGGACUGCCUGAUAGAGGGGGAUAACUACUGGAAACGGUAGCUAAUACCGUAUACUAUCAGAUAACCCAUAUGGGAUUAGCUUGUAGGUGAGGUAAAGGCUCACCUAGGCGACGAUCCCUAGCUGGUCUGAGAGGAUGAUCAGCCACACUGGAACUGAGACACGGCCCAGACUCCUACGGAGGCAGCAGUGGGGAAUAUUGCACAAUGGGCGCAAGCCUGAUGCAGCCAUGCCGCGUGUAUGAAGAAGGCCUUAGGGUUGUAAAGUACUUUCAGCGGGGAGGCGUUACCCACAGAAGAAGCACCGGCUAACUCCGUGCCAGCAGCCGCGGUAAUUC